Long non-coding RNA from Amphibalanus amphitrite, 1800 nucleotides. RefSeq lists it as uncharacterized. NCBI's taxonomy places the organism in Eukaryota, Metazoa, Arthropoda, Thecostraca, Balanomorpha, Balanidae. The record is from RefSeq and is a predicted model, not a curated record. The transcript has 4 exons.
GGUGAAAAGUGUUUGUCUCUGGAGUUCAGCUCAUAGAUUGAAGCUUGGAGAAUGUCAAAUGGAGGUUGAAUUGUGCUCAACUAGUUUUGAUUUAGAUAUAUGAAGAUAGAAAGGAGGGAGUGUUACCCGGAUGGCGCCAUUGUCUGACAGGUUCAGUUAUAUGCGCAGCUCACAAGUGCUCAAAAAGGCUGCAAGAUGCCUAGCUAGCAACUGCUCCAACCAGUUUGAAGGAAGAAAGGGUGUAUUUCUCCGCAGGUUUCCUCAAGACCCAGAUGUGUACAGCGAAAGGACUGGCGCAUUCAGGUGAAGAUGGAUUGGUGGCAACAUUUGUCGGAAGGGGGCAAGCUUGGCCAUGCGGCACACUUCAUGAUGAGGGCUCCUUCGAUUGCACAGACCAGCUAUGGUGCAGUCCCAUCAGGUCUUUCUUCCCUGCUCACCUGCAGGACCAUUUCAAUAGCUGCCAGAGCUGCGGGGGCUGAAGCAAAGGCUAGAAAAAGCUGCGACCAGGACGUUGGCCUGUUCCAAGCAGUCUCGAAACGCACACAAGAACGGGAAAAUGUCGAUCCGGACAGCACGCCUCAGGGAGCGUCACUCGUCAGAGGCGGUCUCGACGGGCAGGCCGGGCGGUGCCCAGGGAACAGCGUCACCCGUCUGUGGCUGCCCCGAUGGACAGGCCGGGCGGCACUCCGGCAGCAGCUGCAUCCCUCUGUAGCGGCCCCGACAGCAGGCCGGGCGGCACCUUGGGAGCAGUGGCACACGUUUAUGUGUGGGGUGGCCCCGACGGCAGACCGGGCAACAGAGGCAGUGUACAGGGAAUAGCGGCACCCGUCUAUGGUGGCCCCGACGGCAGGUCGGACACCGAGGCGGCUCCCAGGGAGCAGCGGCACCCGUCUGUGGCGGCAUCGACGGCAGGACGGGCGGUGCUGAUGUAGUAGCGUCUAGUUUGCUGAUAAACGUUAGCGAUAUAGGCAUCAUCCUACCCUGCGUUCGAUGUCUCUCGGACGGCGAAGAUUCUACGCUGUCCGGCCAAUCACGUUCCAAAACCGCAGCCGAGCCUCCGCUGACCUUGAACGGGAUUGGCCGGACGGCGUAGAAUCUUCGCCGUCCGAGAGACAUCGAACGCGGGGCUAGUCACCAUGCUCAGGCGCGUCGAUGAUAUGCUUGUGCUGGGAUAAGGUCAACCUAGAAUUCUGACCUUACGUCAAAGUCAGGUCAGCCUCUCCGACUCUGGCUUCGUGACGUAAUCUAUGUCGCUAAAGUAAACGGUGCAAAAGUUAAAAAUUGGUUUACAAGAUGUGUAUACUAUUAACUAUUAUCUCAUGGUUUCGUGUGUUUGCAUGAUAUUCAAUCAUUUUUCGGCACCAAAAUAGCAGUUACCACCUUUCCCCAUUGACUUGUGAUGGCGAUGUCACGUGACUGACCUGACCUCAGGUGACCAUCAGGAAAAAUAUUAGAAUAUACAAGCUAUAAGGUCUCUGGAGGGUACAAGGUUCUGUUAGUUUGAUCUCCCUGUGAAAGCUCUUCUGGCACUGAAGGCAUUGCGAAGUUGCGGCAUGUCAUGACCGCGCGGUGGCUUUAUUAUGACGUCAUAGGUCAGUGACCGGGCAUGACCUGAAAGGGUGAUUAGUGUCAUAAGAUCCGGAUUUAAUGAAAGGUCAGUUGUACCAACUUUCAGCUCUCUGAGGCCAGCGCGUACCGAACAAGCACGAGUAAACCGUCUGGGAACAAGGGGUGACUAGUCCCUUGCUGCGGUACGGUACGAUGAUAAAAAAUUGAUUUCAAAUACAUUUGGUGAUGCUA